GACCCGGUGGCGGACGGUCCGCAUCUGCCCUUCAUCAACACUCAAGCUAGAUGCAUAAGGUUAACAGCAGAAGGCGCCCGUUCGACUCGGGCCUGGGUCA
Mycena latifolia is the source of this 100-nucleotide non-coding RNA. Lineage: Eukaryota; Fungi; Basidiomycota; Agaricomycetes; Agaricales; Mycenaceae. The record is from the annotation of a GenBank genome assembly.